This 220-nucleotide long non-coding RNA is filed under the name Gossypium barbadense (sea-island cotton). Its description in RNAcentral is "long non-coding RNA (GBAR_LNC007389)". The record is from RNAcentral. Lineage: Eukaryota; Viridiplantae; Streptophyta; Magnoliopsida; Malvales; Malvaceae.
UUCCCAUGGGUCUAUGGACAGGAGGGCGCGGAUGGCAUCAGCUAGCUGAACUUGCUCUACGGUAGCCCAGUCAAUGCAGCGACCUGUAGUGAGGGGUCGUGCGCGUAGUAUCUGAAAUAGCUCCUCCUGCGAAGCUUGUGAAAAUUUAAGGAACAGCUCCGAACUUCGAUUGUAGCACGUACCGAGGAAGAACCCGGUCCCCUACGUCUCUUUGAGGAUU